UGUCUUGGGUCUCACACMUAAAGAACCCAAAUAUCUAAACGGAGAAAUUCAAUAUUGUUACGCAAUGUGCACUUUUCUCUUAGUAAGACGCCGUGAUCCAUUAGAAAGUGGUGCGUUCCAGCGCAUAGUGAGUCAUCAAUAGGCCAGCGUGAAGUUUGUCCGGAACGAAUGGCRCGAUCUUUUACGGUUGUGUGUAUCGUCUGGUGAGCGCGUUGAUGACUGUCUGAUGGAUUUUAUAGGUUAUACCCGAUCAACGGCGGUUCAGUUUGGGAUACCUUUUGGACCCGUCUUGAAACACGGACCAAGGAGUCUAUCUAGUAUGCGAGUAAAUGGAUAUGUUGAAAUCUAUUUGCGUAAUAAACGUAACUGUGUGUGGGAUUACGAUUAGAAUUCUCRCGAUCUCUUUUCUUCCAUCCCGGGGUAUUUUCAUCCAUAUGGAAAAUAUACCAUGAGCACACUGGAUACGACCCGAAAGAUGGUGAACUAUGCCUGAUCAGGUCGAAGUCAGGGGAAACCCUGAUGGAGGACCGAAGCAGUUCUGACGUGCAAAUCGAUUGUCAGAAUUGGGCAUAGGCGAAG
This 579-nucleotide ribosomal RNA is filed under the name Polypedilum flavum. Its description in RNAcentral is "partial 28S ribosomal RNA". Lineage: Eukaryota; Metazoa; Arthropoda; Insecta; Diptera; Chironomidae. The record is from RNAcentral.